CCUACGGGAGGCAGCAGUAGGGAAUCUUCCACAAUGGGCGAAAGCCUGAUGGAGCAACGCCGCGUGGGUGAAGAAGGUCUUCGGAUCGUAAAACCCUGUUGUUAGAGAAGAAAGUGCGUGAGAGUAACUGUUCACGUUUCGACGGUAUCUAACCAGAACGCCACGGCUAACUACGUGCCUGCAGCCGCGGUAAUACGUAGGUGGCAAGCGUUAUCCGGAUUUAUUGGGCGUAAAGGGAACGCAGGCGGUCUUUUAAGUCUGAUGUGAAAGCCUUCGGCUUAACCGGAGUAGUGCAUUGGAAACUGGGAGACUGGAGUGCAGAAGAGGAGAGUGGAACUCCAUGUGUAGCGGUGAAAUGCGUAGAUAUAUGGAAGAACACCAGGGGCGAAAGCGGCUCUCUGGUCUGUAACUGACGCUGAGGUUCGAAAGCGUGGGUAGCAAACAGGAUUAGAUACCCUAGUAGUC
This 465-nucleotide ribosomal RNA is filed under the name uncultured bacterium. RNAcentral describes it as "partial 16S ribosomal RNA". It matches the Rfam family "Bacterial small subunit ribosomal RNA", at positions 338 to 795 of the family's 1533-position model. The record is from RNAcentral.